CCCGAGGAUGGGACUGCGACCUAUCAGGCUGUUGGCGGUGUAACGGACCACCAAACCUACAACGGGUACGGGCGAUGGGAGUCGGAGCCCGGAGAUGGGGACUGAGACAAGGCCCCAGGCCCUACGGGGCGCAGCAGGUACGAAAACUCCGCAAUGCGCGAAAGCGUGACGGGGGAACCCCAAGUACCGUUGGUCUUUGAUCGACGGCUUUUAGGGAGUCUAAGAAGCUCCCGGAAUAAGGGCUGGGCAAGUCGGGUGCCAGCCGCCGCGGUAAUACCCGCAGCCCAAGUGGUGGUCGCGAUUAUUGGGCCUAAAGCGCUCGUAGCCGGGUCAGCAAGUCCCUUGCGAAAUCGGGCGGCCCAACCGUUCGGCUUGCAAGGGAUACUGUUGGUCCUGAGGCCGGGAGACGUCUGAGGUACUCCGGGGGUAACGGUAAAAUGUUGUAAUCCUUGGGGGACCACCAGUGGCGAAGGCGUCAGACGAGAACGGACCUGACGGUGAGGGGCGAAGGCUAGGGGAGCGAACGGGAUUAGAUACCCCGGUAGUCCUAGCUGUAAAGGAU
Molecule: ribosomal RNA, 562 nt
Filed under: uncultured archaeon
Lineage: Archaea
Description: bacterial SSU rRNA
Rfam family: Archaeal small subunit ribosomal RNA
Source: RNAcentral